This 320-nucleotide ribosomal RNA is filed under the name uncultured eukaryote. RNAcentral's name for it is "partial 18S ribosomal RNA". It matches the Rfam family "Eukaryotic small subunit ribosomal RNA", at positions 1470 to 1796 of the family's 1831-position model. The record is from RNAcentral.
CCCCUAGAUGUUCUGGGCCGCACGCGCGCUACACUGAACAGUUCAACAAGUCUUAACCUUGGCCGAUAGGUCUGGGUAAUCUUUGAACGCUGUUCGUGAUUGGGAUAGACCUUUGCAAUUAUGGGUCUUCAACGAGGAAUUCCUAGUAAACGCAAGUCAUCAGCUUGCAUUGAUUACGUCCCUGCCCUUUGUACACACCGCCCGUCGCACCUACCGAUUGAAUGGUCCGGUGAAAUCUCGGGACGGCGGCUUGGUCGCUUGCGUCCGACUGCUGAAACUUGAUUAAACCUUAUCAUUUAGAGGAAGGUGAAGUCGUAACA